Molecule: ribosomal RNA, 453 nt
Filed under: Vibrio parahaemolyticus
Lineage: Bacteria; Pseudomonadati; Pseudomonadota; Gammaproteobacteria; Vibrionales; Vibrionaceae
Description: bacterial SSU rRNA
Rfam family: Bacterial small subunit ribosomal RNA
Source: RNAcentral
AAAUUGAAGAGUUUGAUCAUGGCUCAGAUUGAACGCUGGCGGCAGGCCUAACACAUGCAAGUCGAGCGGAAACGAGUUAUCAGAACCUUCGGGGAACGAUAACGGCGUCGAGCGGCGGACGGGUGAGUAAUGCCUAGGAAAUUGCCCUGAUGUGGGGGAUAACCAUUGGAAACGAUGGCUAAUACCGCAUGAUGCCUACGGGCCAAAGAGGGGGACCUUCGGGCCUCUCGCGUCAGGAUAUGCCUAGGUGGGAUUAGCUAGUUGGUGAGGUAAGGGCUCACCAAGGCGACGAUCCCUAGCUGGUCUGAGAGGAUGAUCAGCCACACUGGAACUGAGACACGGUCCAGACUCCUACGGGAGGCAGCAGUGGGGAAUAUUGCACAAUGGGCGCAAGCCUGAUGCAGCCAUGCCGCGUGUGUGAAGAAGGCCUUCGGGUUGUAAAGCACUUUCAGU